RNAcentral lists this ribosomal RNA (558 nucleotides) under Russula cf. aeruginea ME12_H2. Its description in RNAcentral is "eukaryotic LSU rRNA". The stretch from base 174 to 327 matches the Rfam family "5.8S ribosomal RNA". The record is from RNAcentral. Lineage: Eukaryota; Fungi; Basidiomycota; Agaricomycetes; Russulales; Russulaceae.
GUCGUGCACGCCCGGAGUGCUCUCUCACAUCCAUCUCACCCCUUUGUGCAUCAUCGCGUGGGGCCCUCUCCUUUGGCUUGUUCCGGAAGGGGGGGGGUUCACGUUUUUACACGAACAACCCAUUAAUGCAUGUGUAGAAUGUCUUACUUUUUGCGGUCACACGCAAUCAAUACAACUUUCAACAACGGAUCUCUUGGCUCUCGCAUCGAUGAAGAACGCAGCGAAAUGCGAUACGUAAUGUGAAUUGCAGAAUUCAGUGAAUCAUCGAAUCUUUGAACGCACCUUGCGCCCCUUGGUAUUCCGAGGGGUGCACCCGUUUGAGUGUCGUGAACACCCUCAACCUUCUUGGUUUAUCGACCGGGAAGGCUUGGACUUUGGAGGUUUUUGUUGCUGGCCUCGUUUGAAGCCAGCUCCUCCUAAACGAAUUAGUGGGGUCCGCCGUGCCGACCCUCGACGUGAUAAGUAUGCUUCUACGUCUUGGGGUUUCGCACUGUUGCCUGCUUCCAACCGUCUUCGAAUGAAGACAAUCUUAUAGACCUUGACCUCAAAUCGGGUGAG